This 468-nucleotide ribosomal RNA is filed under the name uncultured bacterium. RNAcentral's name for it is "partial 16S ribosomal RNA". It matches the Rfam family "Bacterial small subunit ribosomal RNA", at positions 28 to 507 of the family's 1533-position model. The record is from RNAcentral.
GACGAACGCUGGCGGCGUGCUUAACACAUGCAAGUCGAACGGAAAGGCCCUGCUCUUGUGGGGUGCUCGAGUGGCGAACGGGUGAGUGAAACGUGAGUAAACUGCCCUUGACUUUGGGAUAACUUCAGGAAACAGGGGCUAAUACCGGAUAGGAGAUCCUGCUGCAUGGGGUGGGUUGGAAAGUUUCGGCGGUUGGGGAUGGACUCGCGGCUUAUCAGCUUGUUGGUCGGGUAGUGGCUUACCAAGGCUUUGACGGGUAGCCGGCCUGGGAGGGUGACCGGCGUCAUGAGGCCUGAGGGACGGCCCAGUCGGGUACGUUAGGCAGUAGGGGAGAGCAUGACAGAACGGGCGGGAGCGUGAGAUAGAAACGCCGCGUGCGUGAAAACCUCCUUCGGGGUGUAAACCGCUGUCGCCUGUGACGAAGCGUGAUUGACGGUAAUGGGUAAAGAAGCACCGGCUAACUACGUG